UGAACAUCAGCCCCUGGCUCCGGCAUCUUCAUGUGAAGAGUGCCGCUCAAAGCACUGCAUCGCGAUGUGAUUACUGAGAACCGCUUGAGUGCCGGGUGUCUGUUCCACAAACGCUUCGUCAGUUCCUCAAACAAAAGACUCUUACUUCAUUUCGUGAGAAGCAAUUCAUGUUUUCAUAGAUCUUGUUGGUGGGACCUGAAAAAGAAAAUGACUUUUUGGCAACCAAUUCAUUUUUACCACUGCUACGCAGCCAAGCCAAGCCAAACAUCGUUUUUUGCAGUCUGACAACUCCUUUUUCACUUCUAAAUAACAGGGAUGAACAUUAAUUUCAUAGAGCCAGCUGAGGUUAGGAGAAAUAUUGACCACUGAGGACACACAGACUCAAAUGUGUUUUGAAGCUGUUUGAUCAUAGAUUCCUCUGAAACCUAUAUUUAAUGAUAUAUUUAAUGUAAUUCAUUUCAUAGCCUGGCAUAUCAUUGAAUUCAUUAACUUCUUUCCGGAUGUAAAUCAUUGUACUGGAUUGGUAGCAGCCAGUAUCAUAUUUGCAUACAAGUUGUGUUCUGUUUUAUUAACUGUAACUUCUGCCAGGCUGUUAUGCUGAUAUAUAUAUUUUUUGUACCAGCUGCCCUUGUCUGGUUCCUCUUUGUAACUGAAAUUCUUUGGGAUGUGUCCCUAUAAAUUUGUAUUCUAGCCAAAACCCAUCUCUGCCAGCGGUGUUUUUAGAACAGGCCAGUCUACUUUAGGAAAGGUUUCAGAGUAGCAGCCGGGUUAGUCUGUAUCCACAAAAAGAACAGGAGUCCUUGUGGCACUGUAGAGACUAACACAUUUAUUUGGGCAUAAGUUUUUGUGGGUUACAGCCCAUUUCAUCGGAUGCAUGCAGUGGAAAAUACAGUAGGAAGAUAGAUAUUGUGAUGGAGCAAGGCCAGAUGGCUACAGUAAAGUAGUAAGGAACAGGUAUGUUAGCCCCAGGCUAAACAAAUCCCUAGGACCAUGGUAACCAAAUGGCAGUUGCUCCAGGUUAAUCAAGGCACCUGGGGCCAAUUAAGAUCUUUCUAGAAGGCAGUGGAGAUAGCUACAUUGAUUAGAACACCUGCAGCCAAUCAAGGCAGGCUAAUCAGGGCACCUGGGUUUAAAAAGGAGCUCACUCUAGUCGGGGGGAGGAGCCAGAGGAGAGGAAGUGUGUGAGAGAGGAGCUGGGAGCAAGAAGCAUAAGGAGCUGAGACUGAGA
Molecule: long non-coding RNA, 1228 nt
Filed under: Gopherus agassizii (Agassiz's desert tortoise)
Lineage: Eukaryota; Metazoa; Chordata; Testudines; Testudinidae
Description: lncRNA (ENSGAGG00000023129.1)
Source: RNAcentral